This 406-nucleotide ribosomal RNA is filed under the name uncultured bacterium. Its description in RNAcentral is "partial 16S ribosomal RNA". It matches the Rfam family "Bacterial small subunit ribosomal RNA", at positions 30 to 526 of the family's 1533-position model. The record is from RNAcentral.
AUUGAACGCUGGCGGCAGGCCUAACACAUGCAAGUCGAACGAGUGGCGGACGGGUGAGUAAUGUCUGGGAAACUGCCUGAUGGAGGGGGAUAACUACUGGAAACGGUAGCUAAUACCGCAUACCAUCGGAUGUGCCCAGAUGGGAUUAGCUAGUAGGUGGGGUAAAGGCUCACCUAGGCGGCGAUCCCUAGCUGGUCUGAGAGGAUGACCGGCCACACGGGAACUGAGACACGGUCCAGAAUCCUACGGGAGGUCGCAGUUGGGAAUAUUGCAGAAUGGGCGCAAGCCUGAUGCAGUCAUGCCGCGUGUAUGAAGAAGGCCUUCGGGUUGUAAAGUACUUUCAGCGAGGAGGCGUUACCAGCAGAAGAAGCACCGGCUAACUCCGUGCCAGCAGCCGCGGUAAUUC